GGCGGUGUGGCCGAGUGGUUUAAGGCGGCAGAUUUAAGUCUUUUGUUUGUUAUAUACUUUCUCGAUAACGUAUAUCAGAAUAUAAGAAUUCUCUGCUAUCCGAGAGGAUGCAUGGGUUCGAACCCCAUCGCCGCCA
This 136-nucleotide transfer RNA is filed under the name Phaeomoniella chlamydospora. It matches the Rfam family "tRNA". Rfam says of the family: Transfer RNA (tRNA) molecules are approximately 80 nucleotides in length. Their secondary structure includes four short double-helical elements and three loops (D, anti-codon, and T loops). Lineage: Eukaryota; Fungi; Ascomycota; Eurotiomycetes; Phaeomoniellales; Phaeomoniellaceae. The record is from Rfam by way of RNAcentral.